UACGGGGGGGGCAAGCGUUGUUCGGAAUUACUGGGCGUAAAGGGCUCGUAGGCGGCCAACUAAGUCGGGUGUGAAAUCCCCGGGCUCAACCUGGGAAUUGCAUUCGAUACUGGAUAGCUAGAGUUCGGCAGAGGGAAGCGGAAUUUCGGGUGUAGCGGUGAAAUGCGUAGAUAUCCGAAGGAACAUCAGUGGCGAAAGCGGCUUCCUGGACCAGAACUGACGAUCAGGCACGAAAGCGUGGGGAGCAAACAGG
Molecule: ribosomal RNA, 253 nt
Filed under: uncultured bacterium
Lineage: Bacteria
Description: partial 16S ribosomal RNA
Rfam family: Bacterial small subunit ribosomal RNA
Source: RNAcentral